UAGAAUUAACUAGAUCAAAGCGGGGGUUUUCCAACGUGAUAUUAUUCGGUGCAGCAGGCAACCGACUAACUAAAGAUUCCAAAGCUCUGUCAAUUCGUGCAUCAAUUAUUUUUUGUAGAAGCUCAUCUCUUGUUUCAACUCCUCCCUCAGCAUGUUCAGAUAGAUCAUUAGGAGUUCCUUCUCGAGAUCCAUGUGGAGAAGCUUGAGGAAGAGGAUAACCGUGUUCAUCUCCCACCACUUGAUGGAUUCGAUUUUUCUUGAUUGUUGUUGUCGUUAUUGUUUGACAUGAUGAUAACAAUGAGUAGAGUGUAAUCUUAAAAAGAAUAGAUUAUCAGAUUCCCGGUAACGGAACCAAUUUGUUUAACCAAAAUAUAAUAUUUUGGUCAAAGCUAGAAUUUAAGAUAAAAGGUCGGGUUAUUGAUAAUCAAGAGACCAAAAAGAAUAAUAAGCUUUUUGAGAAUAAGAAUAAGACAGUAAACAAAUUUGUAUUUCAGUAUAAUAUCAAUGCUAUUUCGUGCCCUUACAAAUGAUGAGACAUUUUCC
This 543-nucleotide long non-coding RNA is filed under the name Nicotiana benthamiana. RNAcentral describes it as "long non-coding RNA (NBEN_LNC022036)". The record is from RNAcentral. Lineage: Eukaryota; Viridiplantae; Streptophyta; Magnoliopsida; Solanales; Solanaceae.